This 445-nucleotide ribosomal RNA is filed under the name Klebsiella ornithinolytica. RNAcentral describes it as "partial 23S ribosomal RNA". It matches the Rfam family "Bacterial large subunit ribosomal RNA", at positions 419 to 867 of the family's 2925-position model. The record is from RNAcentral. Lineage: Bacteria; Pseudomonadati; Pseudomonadota; Gammaproteobacteria; Enterobacterales; Enterobacteriaceae. RNAcentral also lists the same sequence under 1 other name.
GGGACACGUGGUAUCCUGUCUGAAUAUGGGGGGACCAUCCUCCAAGGCUAAAUACUCCUGACUGACCGAUAGUGAACCAGUACCGUGAGGGAAAGGCGAAAAGAACCCCGGCGAGGGGAGUGAAAAAGAACCUGAAACCGUGUACGUACAAGCAGUGGGAGCCUACUUGUUAGGUGACUGCGUACCUUUUGUAUAAUGGGUCAGCGACUUAUAUUCUGUAGCAAGGUUAACCGUAUAGGGGAGCCGCAGGGAAACCGAGUCUUAACUGGGCGUUAAGUUGCAGGGUAUAGACCCGAAACCCGGUGAUCUAGCCAUGGGCAGGUUGAAGGUUGGGUAACACUAACUGGAGGACCGAACCGACUAAUGUUGAAAAAUUAGCGGAUGACUUGUGGCUGGGGGUGAAAGGCCAAUCAAACCGGGAGAUAGCUGGUUCUCCCCGAAAGCU